CGCAAGAAUGAAAACUCAAAGGAAUUGACGGGGACCCGCACAAGCGGUGGAGCAUGUGGUUUAAUUCGAAGCAACGCGAAGAACCUUACCAAGUCUUGACAUCUCCCUGACCGGUGAGUAAAGUCACCUUUCCUUCGGGACAGGGAAGACAGGUGGUGCAUGGUUGUCGUCAGCUCGUGUCGUGAGAUGUUGGGUUAAGUCCCGCAACGAGCGCAACCCUUAUUCUUAGUAGCCAGCAGGUAAAGGUGGGCACUCUGGGAAGACUGCCAGGGAUAACCUGGAGGAAGGUGGGGAUGACGUCAAAUCAUCAUGCCCCUUAUGAUUUGGGCUACACACGUGCUACAAUGGCGUAAACAAAGGGAGGCAAAGGAGUAAUCUGGAGCAAACCCCAAAAAUAACGUCUCAGUUCGGACUGUGGUCUGCAACCCGACCACACGAAGCUGGAAUCGCUAGUAAUCGCGAAUCAGAAUGUCGCGGUGAAUACGUUCCCGGGUCUUGUACACACCGCCCGUCACACCAUGGGAGUCAGCAACGCCCGAAGUCAGUGACCUAACCGAAAGGGAGGAGCUGCCGAAGGCGGGGCCGGUAACUGGGGUGAAGUCGUAACAAGGUAGCCGU
RNAcentral lists this ribosomal RNA (618 nucleotides) under uncultured bacterium. Its description in RNAcentral is "bacterial SSU rRNA". It matches the Rfam family "Bacterial small subunit ribosomal RNA", at positions 887 to 1503 of the family's 1533-position model. The record is from RNAcentral.